GUCGGGGGUGUCGGGGGGUCAGGGCUGGCCCUCCAUGACCUACGUGACAAGCAAAGAGACUUACAACAAAGCACCGACUGGCGACUAACGACUUUGGGUCUAGAUCAACUAGAUAUAUCUUUGCCCAUACAUUACGCCGCCUUACAAGUGUGCGAUUGCGAGUGCGAGGGUGUCCGCCCAGAUGAGCUGGAAGUAAUCUGUGGCACUAUCUCUGAGUUGGGUCUCUUUGCACUCCAGACAUCCCUGGAAUAACUUUAGUUCGAAGCCAUGUUUGUAAUCAGAAGUAGUAGGCCCUUGCAUCAUUGCAAAUGCCAUUUGAGAUGAGUGCAGUAAAGAUAUCCAGUAAGUGGUCAAUGAACAACGUAACUCACCAAAUAUUUCAACCGAAAUGCGACUAACUAUAAGUUCGUGCUGUAAGAACAGAACUAAAGCAUUGCGACUCCCAAACAAACCGUUAGCGGCUGGACAAACUCGUAACCACAUACUAACCGUCAAGACAGACAGACAGAAGCAGAAACAGAAACAGCAACAGCAACAGCAACAGAAACAAAAACAAUCCCACCAACUAUAAAAGCCGAAUAAAAAUGGAAAUAAAAGAAGAAAAACAAACCGGUUCGCCACCCGCUCCGAAAACUUCCUGCAGACAACAAGAGCAACAACAUGUUGCUUCUAAUGAGACCACAACAACAAUAACAACAAUAACAAGCAGAACAAUAACAACAGCAACAACAAUUAGAACAGCCAGCAGCAAACAAAAACUGUCAAAAAAUAAGCAGCUAAUUAAGAAGCAUGACCGUUGGCCGUUUUAGAGAACCACAAUCCACAAUCCGAGUCACAAUCAGAAUGAUAGUGAGAAUAAGAAUCAGCAUCAGCACCAGAAUCAGAAUCAGAGGCAGAACCACUUCGACCUUCGCAUGGACCAGUUUUCCCAGUCGCCGCCGCUCCAAAUGGCCAGAAACACGCUGCAGAUUUGGACGCUUUUGUCGAGCGGGUCGACACCCGCAAUGGCAGUGGCCAAAAGUAGCUGAGCCACCAGCUGAGCCAGAACGAAUGGAGCUAUACCCUGCGAAAUGAAUAUGCCUGUUAGGCUGGAAAAUGAAUUCCAUCUAUGAACAAUGUAGCUACUACUCCAGCGCAUUCCAAUGUCGAGCAUAGCCAGAUUAAGAGGUGCAAAAGCGACGAAAUUUCGAGGGAUUAAGACCCAAGUCCGAAGCAGGUGCUCAGUGGAGCAGUUGCCUUCGCUGCCAGCCACAGCACCACAGUACCACACCACACUGACCUACAUUCAUCUGGGUUCGCUUGGGCUUGGCGUCCGUUUGCUUUCCGUUCACUUGGGUCGCCAUCCGAAGUUACGAGUGUUUGACAAUUGACUGCGCUGCUUUCCGUGUGCCGGGCAGUGCCAUAUUUAUGAUUCGCAUUCGCUUUAAUUAAAUUCUCAAGGCGGCGGGCAGGGAGGGGGGAACUCUACACAGUUGACUUUACGACUUGCAUUUAAUUAAAGCCAAUUACCGCUGAACCUGACGAAUCUCCAGAGUGGGGAGAGGAGCCUUGAGAUUAAGGGCGGAAUAUUUGGGAGUAUAAAUAUACUAUAACUGCAGUCCCAACUCCCAACUCCAGAUCACAGCCAAUUGAAAUCGAUUGUGCUAAUCGUAGUCCCCCACUUCAAUUACAUACAUGUACUUGCAUACUUGCAUACUUGCAUUCCUUGAGUGACAGCCCAUAGGAUCUUUGGAAUGGGGGGCACAAUGGGACAUAAAGCGAAGUUAUCUUAAUUAAAAUGCAGCAACAACAGACAUGAGCAAUGAGCAACGAGUCUUAUCUAUGCAAAAUUACUAUAAAUAAACAACGAGAUAUGCAGAGACGGACUCGAACUUGCAGAGGAGUGAUUUUGAGUCAUGGGCUUAUAAACAAAAAUAUACAAAUAGGAAGGCAAGUGGAGGGGGGAAAUGACCAAGUUGAAAAUCCAUAAUAACGACGACAAUAAAAUAACACUGCGACAACUGCGGAUGGCAAACAAGAGGAGAAACAGUAAUAAUGGCAAUAAUGCGAAAAAUAACAACAGUUGCAAAAGUCAACGUACUGCAAGAAAAAAUUCCACAACAGCUGCUGCACAGCCGAAACAUGGGCUCAAAAUUCUCGUUUCGUGAGAACACUGUAAGUGGUAAGUGUAUGUAACUCUCCUAGCUCAACUACUCAGUUACUCAGCUACUCAGCCACUCUCAGCAGUUACAUCUUGGGAGAGCGGCAUCUGUUAACGGUUAACAGAGCUCCGCAUGUCACUCACAUUCCACUCCAUCCACUCCGCUUACAGUGAAGCCUGCCCGGUGCACCAACUAGCUGGGCAAGCCACUAAAAUAGGUGCAUCCCUUUGGUUCUCCGCGCCGGAUAUUACGUCAAGUAGCUUCGUAGUUCAAAACAUUAGUUUAAGAAAGGUGUCAGCCAACAGUGAGCCUAUCGAGGCACGACUGUAGUUGGGGGACUCAUGCGGAAAGCGAUUGAGCAGUGCACUCAGUUUGCCUGGCAACGAACGAAAUAUUUUAACGACUUGCGGCCGGGCCGAAUCAAUAGAGAAAUGAUUGCAAAUUUAUUUUAUUUUUUAUAUGCGCCCUCCUCCGUCGCGGUGCCACUCUUUUUUGUUUAUGUAAAAAUAGCAUGCAAUUGUUUCAAGCCAGAGGGGAGAAGUGGUGCAAUUGGUGCAGUGGGUGGGGCUGUCAUAAAAACGCGAGCGACUCAAGUGGAGUGCAAUUGACGCCAUCGAUUAAACAAGAAUGGGAAUCACUUUGCGCGCGGCGCCUGGUUCCAUUUGAAAGUAGGAAAAACGAGGCAGACGUUGGAAAAGCUGAAGCCCAGGAAAAGUGUGGGUGCGGGCGCGGGCGCGGGGGAGGCAUCUUAAUUGCCGAUUGGAGGAGGAACACAGUCGAAAUAUGGCGAUGGCAACGACCCUGACCUUGUGGCUCCAACUUCAACUUAUAAUACUUAGACUUUAUACCAACGUUCGAAUACAAAAUGACAUGCAAAGCUGUUGCAAAAGAGGACAAAUGAGGACGUGUAUGUACAUAAAUACAGUUGAGAGCGCACUUGCAGCUACAUUUUAUAGGGCCACCCACCCACUCAAAUCCCUUGCAACCCACUUCCACACAUGCGAUAUUUACAUACAAAUGCACUGAAAUGCAUUUUUCAUUUUUAAUUUUCCCAAAACCAAGAUCUAUAGUAUUUCGACUUUGCUUUGGAGUGAUUUCUAAUGCCAUUGCAUGUCACCUUUGUGCCCAUUGUUUUUUUUAGCAUAUAAAAUAUUAAUACAUCUUUUCAUCGUGAAAAUGGAAUGAAA
Long non-coding RNA from Drosophila yakuba, 3328 nucleotides. RefSeq lists it as uncharacterized. Lineage: Eukaryota; Metazoa; Arthropoda; Insecta; Diptera; Drosophilidae. The record is from RefSeq and is a predicted model, not a curated record. The transcript has 2 exons.